This is a non-coding RNA of Candida albicans SC5314, 72 nucleotides long. The record is from Rfam. Lineage: Eukaryota; Fungi; Ascomycota; Pichiomycetes; Serinales; Debaryomycetaceae.
GGGAAUGUCGUCUAAUGGUUAGGACCUUUGCCUUUUAAGCAAAUUACGCUGGUUCAAAUCCAGCCAUUCCCA